CCACGACUAAGAAGCGGAUCUCUUUCCCUGGCAGCACCAUCCCAGAGCCCCAGCUCUGGCUGCACAGUGAUCGUGUCACAGCUGUAGUGCACACACAUGCCCAGGACGUCACUGGCUGGCAGAAUCACACCAAAGCAGCUCACCCGGCUAAAGGUCUCACUGUCAACCCUCUGCUGGCCUCUCAACAAGCAAAACAAGGUGAUUGCAUCCCACGCCACAGAGGUUAAACCCAGGCUAGUGCCCCAGAGGGCUCUGAUGGGCAGAGCAGGCUCAGCCCCAGCCCCAGCCAGAGCAGUGCCAAGGUGCCAGCACCUCCAUCAGCACUGGUGCCUGUGCCACACCCAGCCCUCCAGGCAGGCACAGCUCCCAGGGGCUCUCCAGUGGGUGAACACACUGCAACUAGACAUGUUUUAUGUCCCAAGCUGUCUGGAGGUCCCCUGCUGAUGUGGAGCAAGUCACUCACUCUCAUCACUGCCCUGCCUCUGCCCGAGCUGUGCCCACACUGCUGCAAUCCCAAAGAGCAAGGGCAGGAGACAAAGGAGGAGAUUUACACAGCCCCUGUCACACCAACACUGCCUAAAGCUGGCUCCUGGUGCCCAGCAAGCAUCACCCCAGAGCCACUGAUUAACAGAACACACCGAGCAGAGGGACGGGACAUUUUAAUUACCCAGACAGUGAACCAUGCAUGUUUUUAACUUCUGUCUGCAAAGGUACUACAAGUCAUCACCCCCAGAGUCUGGGAAUGGGGACCUGGGGGUUUAAUCCUGUGUCAGGGAAAAGCCAUUCAUUCCUCAGCCCCAGAACCCGACUGCUAGGACCUGAAAACUCAGCCCUGGCUUUGCCACCUCCUUAUGUUGUGCCUUUGGAGAAGUCACUUCAAUAUUCCCUGUGGUCUGUCUGCAUCCCCCUCACUUCUUUGCCCCCUCCUCUGAGUUUUCGUACCACAACUCAGCUUGUUAGAGCCAAAAACUGUCUGGGACAAAAGCUGACAAAAGCUGUUACUUCCUAUUAUUCCAAUUUCCUGUGCUGCAAACACAGGGAAGGAGAGGUUCUGGUUUCCAAAGGAGCAAUUCUGCACAUUCAGGGAACACAGCCAUCAUCUGAGACGCACAUCUCGGAUUUUACCUCCUCAUCUCCAAGGAGGGUUUGCUGGGGACACUGGUGACCACACCUGAAGGCACCACCUGCUCCAAGGUGACAGGAUCUCACCUCACCCUCGUGAUAACCAGAGCAGGAGAGGCACGCACCAGCAGAUGGAUGGGGAAGGAGGAGGUUAAAACCUGUGGUCCAGGCUGGAAAAUAUCCUCACUGCCCUGUAGCAUGUGCUCUCCAGCCCUGCUGCUGUGACUGACACCCACCAAGACAUGACCUGCCAGCGCAUCCACCAGGUGUUAAUGCACACCUCGGGAAUGGGGCACAGGCAGGCUCUCUUGGCAGGCACACACACCUAUUUAAAGUGUCAGUAAAUUCUCGGGAACAGGAGAGUAAAUUCUCAAAAAGGAAUGAGCAGAUAAGUGAGCACCCCGCUCGGGCAUGGAGCUCAGCACACAGCUGGACAAAGGGCACCAGCAAGAUCCUCUCUGCUUUUCUCUGGGCAGGCUGCAAGGCUCAGGCUCCUUGCUCUGUCCUCCCACGGCAUUUCCAAAGUGAGAGAAAAGGCACCUUGGGGUGACACGGGGCAAAAUCCACCCAAACCGGCUCUGGGGAGGGGUUUUCCUCAGGGGAAAAUGAAGAGUCCAGGGACUUGUCCCUCUCUCAGUGAGCCACUGUGACCGAAGGUCAGGGCCGGGAUGGGGUCCCAGGCAAAGCCCUCGCAGUGGCAGGAGCAGCCAGGGACCCCGUGCAUGUCACAGACCCUGCUCCUGUCAGCAGCUCCUGAACUCCUGGUAAUAAAUUCUUCAUAACAACAAACCUUCAUUAAAAUUUUAUUUUAUUAAUGUUCUGAAAUCAAACCAAAGCACUGAGUACAUAAUGACUGAGAUGCACACUACGCUGAGCUUACUAAAUGCCACUUUUAUCAUAUUGUUAAUUAACAGAAACGAUUAAUGUGCUCGCAGAUCAUUUAGAAGCAUUAGCAGUGACCUAAGAAAAAUUGCAGGUACGUGUGAUACAUCUGCACUUUUCCAUCAGAAUUUUCUACGCAGGAGGCCCUGAAGUUUGCUCCCAGUCCAGCUUCUCUCUGUUGGGGACAUCUGUGUCACAACGGGCACAGAUCUGUCAGCAGCUCAGGAAUUAAAGCAUCAGGCUGGAAUGGGAGAUACCGUAGGAGCAAAUUACCUCCACCUUUUCUUUUUCCUCAGUAUUUGGGAGCAGCCCCACCCUCACAGCCUUUCACUGCUCCCUGUUACUCAGGUACAGAUCUCCCAGC
This is a non-coding RNA of Taeniopygia guttata (zebra finch), 2368 nucleotides long. The record is from RefSeq and is a predicted model, not a curated record. Lineage: Eukaryota; Metazoa; Chordata; Aves; Passeriformes; Estrildidae.